Long non-coding RNA from Equus caballus (horse), 3440 nucleotides. RefSeq lists it as uncharacterized. NCBI's taxonomy places the organism in Eukaryota, Metazoa, Chordata, Mammalia, Perissodactyla, Equidae. The record is from RefSeq and is a predicted model, not a curated record.
AUAAUUUUCAUGCAUUGCUUUUUGGGACAUUUUUAUCCAAUUUUCCUUUGACCUUCUAAUUUUUAGUUGGGGAACAGUGCAGGAAACAAUCUGGUUUUGAUGGAAUCCCAAAUUUUUGUUAGUGUAUGUGUGUUCUAAAUAAACUCAACUAGGUCAUAUGACUCAUGAGCUUUCCAUGCUCUCAGUGACUAUUUUAUGUCCACAAGCUUUCUAAUUAAUUUUGUUUGAUCAGACAAACAAUGUUGAUUGCUUCUUUUUAAAAUAAUUAAACUGGUGGCUAACAACGAGGUACUGCUUUAGGGUUUUUGGUGAAAUACCUUGUAAAGGUUUGUAUAGACUCGAUCAAUUUGCAGAACAGAAAUAAGUACUCAAGCCCCUUUUGGCUUUCAAGGACAGCUGUUUUCUCUAGUUUCAGCCCUCUGAUUAAGGCUUCAGGAAGGGACACAGAGCGAUGAGAUAUGCAAUUGCUGCCUUUGGAAGACUUAACAAGCAUGUAGGGGAUUUCUAUGUUCUCUGCAUUUUCUUUUCUUUAUAAGUACAGCAAAAGGAAAACUUCAAAAACGCUACCCAAAGGAGUAUAACUCAACAGACGUCAAAGUUGCCAUUGAUGACAAGAAGUCGUGAAACAAGUGACCAGCUUAUCUUCAGGAAAGAACCAGUAUCUGGAUUAUUUCCAGGCCAUCCAGACAGUUAUUUCAACUGGAACAAGUGACCUUUGGAACAGACUAGAACAUAGCAGUCUGGCCAGACAGAGGGGAGGGAGUAGUCAACUGGGAAGGGCCCCAACAUGUUCUUGUGAAAUGUCACUUGAAGUAAGAGGACAAUAAAAAGUUAAGGACAAAUAAAUGAACUUAAAAAUAUUUAAGUCAAUAAAAACUGUGUGACCACAAUAUGGGAUUCAAGGGAAGAUACAGUCUGAGACUUUAGCUGUCAUUCUUUAAUAGACGUGCUCAACAAAUAUAGUUCUUCAUUCCCUUGAGUACAGAUAAUGUCCCUUAAUUAUACAACAUUCAUCUUUGAAUAUUCACAGCCUUGUAGAAGCCCAAUAAUUAUGUUUGUCCUCCCUCAAUUGGGCCAUAUUUCCUUAGUUUCUGAUUCUAUGGUGGUUGUUAGAUACUCUUAGAGAAUUGUCAAGAUCUUUAUUUAGUAAAUUAUUACUGCAGGAAGAUAGUUAAAAGUAAAGAUUUCAUUAGAGAGGAGAGAGUGAUUAUCUCCUUUGAACAUUUACAUAGAAAGCACGUGGUUCUUUUCUUUCACAGAGAGCAUAAGAAGUUUUAGUUCACAGCCUUAGCAAGAAGCAUGCUAAAGAAUCAUUCAGCUUUUUACUGAACGCUUAUGGGUAUAGUGCUGGGCUUGGCCCAAAAAAGAUAUGACAAUGUUAAGGCAAUACCUCCUUCAAGAUUUUUGGAGAAUAAAUAGAAAAGUUAAAAAUUAUUAAAAAUAUUUUAAAAGAUUUUCCAAGACAGUAUUUUAUAGGUUUAUGCAAAAUAUAUCAAUAAUAAGUUGAUAAAGUACAAUUUACUGAUCAAAUGCUAUAGAACUUCAGAAUGUCCUUUAACAGAGAAUUUAAUUAGUACACUAGUGUGUACCUGGGAAUUCUUUCAAGAAGAUAACUCUCACAGCUUCUAGCCGGGUUCCCUUUACUGAAAACAGCAACAUUUAAAAGCCUUACUGCGUGUUCCAAAGUGCCUAUAGAGUUGUUUGCAAACUGGAAAAGUUUGGCUUGAUAAAUUUUGAGUGUGCCUCUGAAUGAAUGCCAAAAAUGUGGCUACGAUAAACGACAUAGCGUAAGUUUUUGCAAACUUUUAGUUAUACAAUUAUAGUGGUACUAUUAACUGACAUAAAACCCAAAGUUGGUGAUAUAGAAAUAAGAAAUUCAGCUGUUUCAAUUUAUCAUGUAAUGUCAGGAAAAUUUGAACUGAAUCUUUAAAUUUGACUCCUACUUAAAUUUACCAGUUUUUGAAUAUUAUUUAACUAUGAUUUUGGAAGUAGUGUGACUUGAGUCCAUGAACUAGAGUGAAAACAAAUGAAUCCAGAGAAGGGUAAUGUCUUCUGCUAUUUAAAUAAUAUCAAUAUUUCAUAAAAACUCACUUGAAAGCAAGGAACUAAGACCAUAAAUUAUUUUAGGAGGGGGUCUCCUCACUAGAAUAAGGGAAUCCCACUCUGAAUGAAUUCUAAGGAAAAUAUGUUUUAAGGGAGAGAUUUCUAGAAGUGCAUUAUAUUUUUACUGUAACAACAUAAGAUCAAGACAUGGAGCAAGUAUAAGAAUUAAGGUUUGUGUCAAAUUUGCAGGAUGAGCAUUGAUGGAGGAAGUUCUUGAGAAAUUUGUCUGAGGCUAUCUAGGAAGGAAAAGACAUUUAAGUUAGGCCCUUCCUGCAGGAGACACGGGGGUCUGAGGGCAAUACUAGCCAUGCCCAUGGCAACAGAAUGUUAGCUGCCUAGAAGGGGUGUAGUUUGGGUGGAGUCUGAGAUUUAGUUGUCAAAACUGAGUUCAAGAUUCUUCAAGCAAUUUAACAGAGGCUGAAAUCCAAAAUAAUGAAUAAAUAUUGAAUUUGGAACUAUAUAUGGAAACAUUGGAACAGAAAAAUAUUAACAGCCAGUUUUUUUUAUGGUUAUGUUAAGAACAUCAAAAAACGAAAAAAAAAAGUCAGCAUUUAGAAAUACAACGCAAAAUCUAUCUGAAAGUGAAUUCCAAUAAUGUGACCAACAUUUUUUGAAAAAAAUUCAAAUCCAAAACAUAGGAAACAAGAAGAGAUGAGGGAAAUUAUUGCUAUUGGUCUGUCUUGAUAAGUCUCGCACUGGAUAUCUAAGAUUAUAGGCACUAGCCAGUGCUAGGUACCCAAAUUUAAUCAGUUAAAUAUAAGUGCUCUUGGGGAAGUUUUUGGUUCACACAGAACAUUAAUACACGUUGGUUUUCAUUUAUUAAUUCAUGUUUUUGCCUUACUUUUCCUUCAUGACAAUAAGCUAACUGAAGGGAGGGAUCUGGUCAUCUUCAAUUUAACAAUCUCUGUUAGCAAACUUAGUAGAUGUUUUCUUACCCACAUAAUACAUAUUAUUCACAGAAUGAGUAAUAAAUGAAUUUUGUUGAAUGGAUUGAUGAAUUGUUUACUGGUGUGCAAAGGCUGUGCAUGUGAGUCCUGUGUGUCUUUAAAAUAUUUGACAUUGUGUUUUGAAUAGGUUCAAAACUUCUUCAUGACAUUCCAGUUAGCCACAACUCAAGUCCUAUGACCAAGUCCACUGUUUUAAGACUAUCCACCAAGACACCCUUUGUAUUAUUACUAGGUUAAAAAGGCUCUCAAUUUUGAAAAGAGAUAUUUACGCAAUACAGUUAUUGCACCAGAUGCUUCUGGUGAAAGGAACCAAAUUAUGACCUCUCUCACCAGCAGGAUCAAGUCCACUGUUUUCACAACUGAAAGAUAUUUGCUCAUAAAGUUAAAAUG